RNAcentral lists this ribosomal RNA (1129 nucleotides) under Micrococcus luteus. RNAcentral's name for it is "bacterial SSU rRNA". It matches the Rfam family "Bacterial small subunit ribosomal RNA", at positions 56 to 1194 of the family's 1533-position model. Lineage: Bacteria; Bacillati; Actinomycetota; Actinomycetes; Micrococcales; Micrococcaceae. The record is from RNAcentral.
UGCAAGUCGAACGAUGAAGCCCAGCUUGCUGGGUGGAUUAGUGGCGAACGGGUGAGUAACACGUGAGUAACCUGCCCUUAACUCUGGGAUAAGCCUGGGAAACUGGGUCUAAUACCGGAUAGGAGCGUCCACCGCAUGGUGGGUGUUGGAAAGAUUUAUCGGUUUUGGAUGGACUCGCGGCCUAUCAGCUUGUUGGUGAGGUAAUGGCUCACCAAGGCGACGACGGGUAGCCGGCCUGAGAGGGUGACCGGCCACACUGGGACUGAGACACGGCCCAGACUCCUACGGGAGGCAGCAGUGGGGAAUAUUGCACAAUGGGCGCAAGCCUGAUGCAGCGACGCCGCGUGAGGGAUGACGGCCUUCGGGUUGUAAACCUCUUUCAGUAGGGAAGAAGCGAAAGUGACGGUACCUGCAGAAGAAGCACCGGCUAACUACGUGCCAGCAGCCGCGGUAAUACGUAGGGUGCGAGCGUUAUCCGGAAUUAUUGGGCGUAAAGAGCUCGUAGGCGGUUUGUCGCGUCUGUCGUGAAAGUCCGGGGCUUAACCCCGGAUCUGCGGUGGGUACGGGCAGACUAGAGUGCAGUAGGGGAGACUGGAAUUCCUGGUGUAGCGGUGGAAUGCGCAGAUAUCAGGAGGAACACCGAUGGCGAAGGCAGGUCUCUGGGCUGUAACUGACGCUGAGGAGCGAAAGCAUGGGGAGCGAACAGGAUUAGAUACCCUGGUAGUCCAUGCCGUAAACGUUGGGCACUAGGUGUGGGGACCAUUCCACGGUUUCCGCGCCGCAGCUAACGCAUUAAGUGCCCCGCCUGGGGAGUACGGCCGCAAGGCUAAAACUCAAAGGAAUUGACGGGGGCCCGCACAAGCGGCGGAGCAUGCGGAUUAAUUCGAUGCAACGCGAAGAACCUUACCAAGGCUUGACAUGUUCUCGAUCGCCGUAGAGAUACGGUUUCCCCUUUGGGGCGGGUUCACAGGUGGUGCAUGGUUGUCGUCAGCUCGUGUCGUGAGAUGUUGGGUUAAGUCCCGCAACGAGCGCAACCCUCGUUCCAUGUUGCCAGCACGUAAUGGUGGGGACUCAUGGGAGACUUGCCGGGGUCAACUCCGGAGGAAGGUGAGGACGACGUCAAAUCAUC